Molecule: ribosomal RNA, 574 nt
Filed under: Limnonectes macrodon (brown mountain frog)
Lineage: Eukaryota; Metazoa; Chordata; Amphibia; Anura; Dicroglossidae
Description: partial large subunit ribosomal RNA
Rfam family: Bacterial large subunit ribosomal RNA
Source: RNAcentral
CAUCGCCUCUUGAUUAAAUAUAAGAGGUCCAGCCUGCCCAGUGACUUACUUAAACGGCCGCGGUACCAUAACCGUGCAAAGGUAGCAUAAUCAUUCGUUCUUUAAAUAGGGACUCGUAUCAACGGCACCACGAGGGUUAUACUGUCUCCCCCUUCUAAUCAGUGAAACUGACCUCCCCGUGAAGAGGCGGGGAUUAUACUACAAGACGAGAAGACCCCAUGGAGCUUUAAACCCAACAAUAAUUUUUUGUCUAAGCAAUUCAUAAAAGCAUAAAAAUUUUAUUGUUGGUUUUGGGUUGGGGCGACCACGGAGUAAAACAAAACCUCCUUGACGAACAGGGUUUUAUCCUAAUCCAAGAGCUACUGCUCUAAGAAUCAAAAAUUUGACAUAACAUGAUCCGGUAACCGAUCAACGAACCAAGUUACCCUGGGGAUAACAGCGCAAUCCAUUUUAAGAGCCCUUAUCAACAAAUGGGUUUACGACCUCGAUGUUGGAUCAGGGUGUCCUAGUGGUGCAGCCGCUACUAAAGGUUUGUUUGUUCAACAAUUAAUACCCUACGUGAUCUGAGUUCAGA